GACGAACGCUGGCGGCGUGCCUAAUACAUGCAAGUCGAGCGAUCAAGGUUGGUGCUUGUUCCUACUGGAUGAGCAGCGGACGGGUGAGUAACGCGUGGGUAAUCUGCCUUUGAGCGUGGGACAACUUCUGGAAACGAAUGCUAAUACCGCAUAAUAACUUGAAACACAUGUUUCAAUUGUGAAAGACGCAAUUGCUUUACCCAAUGAUGAUACCGCGUUGUAUUAGCCUGUUGGUUAGGUUAAGGCCUACCAAAGCGAUGGAAGCGUGCCGGACUUGAGAGGUGGUUGGCCACAAUGGGAAUGGGAAACGGCCCAAGACCCUUCGGGAAGCAGCAGGAGGGGAUCUUCGGCAAAGGAGGAAAGGCUGAACGAGCAACGGCGCGGGAGGGGAGGAGGGUUUCGGAUCGGUAAACUCUGUUGGUAGGGAAGAACGUUGGUGAGAGUGGAAAGCUCAUCAAGUGACGGUAACUAACCAGAAAGGGACGGCUAACUACGUG
RNAcentral lists this ribosomal RNA (497 nucleotides) under uncultured bacterium. Its description in RNAcentral is "partial 16S ribosomal RNA". It matches the Rfam family "Bacterial small subunit ribosomal RNA", at positions 28 to 507 of the family's 1533-position model. The record is from RNAcentral.